This 730-nucleotide ribosomal RNA is filed under the name uncultured bacterium. RNAcentral's name for it is "bacterial SSU rRNA". It matches the Rfam family "Bacterial small subunit ribosomal RNA", at positions 104 to 828 of the family's 1533-position model. The record is from RNAcentral.
GGGUGAGUAACGCGUAUGCAACCUGCCCGUUUCAGCGGGAUAACCCGGAGAAAUCCGGCCUAAUACCGCAUGUGGCCGAGGGGAGGCAUCUUCUUUCGGCCAAAGGAGGCGACUCCGGAGACGGAUGGGCAUGCGUGACAUUAGCUUGUUGGCGGGGUAACGGCCCACCAAGGCGACGAUGUCUAGGGGUUCUGAGAGGAAGGUCCCCCACACUGGUACUGAGACACGGACCAGACUCCUACGGGAGGCAGCAGUGAGGAAUAUUGGUCAAUGGGCGAGAGCCUGAACCAGCCAAGUCGCGUGAAGGAUGACGGCCCUACGGGUUGUAAACUUCUUUUGUCAGGGAGCAAUUGAGUCCACGUGUGGGCUUAGCGAGAGUACCUGAAGAAAAAGCAUCGGCUAACUCCGUGCCAGCAGCCGCGGUAAUACGGAGGAUGCGAGCGUUAUCCGGAUUUAUUGGGUUUAAAGGGUGCGUAGGCGGAAUAUCAAGUCAGCGGUAAAAAUUCGGGGCUCAACCCCGUCGUGCCGUUGAAACUGAUGUUCUUGAGUGGGCGAGAAGUAUGCGGAAUGCGUGGUGUAGCGGUGAAAUGCAUAGAUAUCACGCAGAACUCCGAUUGCGAAGGCAGCAUACCGGCGCCCAACUGACGCUGAAGCACGAAAGCGUGGGUAUCGAACAGGAUUAGAUACCCUGGUAGUCCACGCAGUAAACGAUGAAUGCUAAUUGUCCGGA